UCGAGAAUUUUUCACAAUGGGCGCAAGCCUGAUGGAGCGACGCCGCGUGGGGGAUGAAUGGCUUCGGCCCGUAAACCCCUGUCAUUUGCGAUCAAACCUUGCUAUUUAAAAGAUGGCGAGCUGAUAGUAGCGAAAGAGGAAGGGACGGCUAACUCUGUGCCAGCAGCCGCGGUAAUACAGAGGUCCCAAGCGUUGUUCGGAUCACUGGGCGUAAAGGGUGCGUAGGUGGUGGGGUAAGUCGGAUGUGAAAUCUCGGAGCUCAACUCCGAAAUGGCAUUGGAAACUACCCUGCUAGAGGGUCGGAGGGGGGACUGGAAUUCUCGGUGUAGCAGUGAAAUGCGUAGAUAUCGAGAGGAACACCAGGGGCGAAGGCGAGUCCCUGGACGACUCCUGACACUGAGGCACGAAAGCUAGGGGAGCAAACA
Molecule: ribosomal RNA, 425 nt
Filed under: uncultured bacterium
Lineage: Bacteria
Description: bacterial SSU rRNA
Rfam family: Bacterial small subunit ribosomal RNA
Source: RNAcentral